This 1790-nucleotide unclassified non-coding RNA is filed under the name Hevea brasiliensis (rubber tree). The record is from RNAcentral. Lineage: Eukaryota; Viridiplantae; Streptophyta; Magnoliopsida; Malpighiales; Euphorbiaceae.
GCAACGCAAGCAAAAUACAUCCACUGCCAACUUCUAAUUAAUAUGAUACAAUUCUUUGCAAAGUCGUGCCUAGUGUUAUAAUCAAACAAACUCUCCCACCCAUUAGCAUAUACUACACGUUAUUACUUCUGGGCUGAAGCUCCACACUCUCAUUUCUAGCCCUAACGCCCUUGCUAAACAGUAACUCCAUCUCUUCCAAGGACCUGCCCUUGGUCUCUGGGAAAAGAAAAUAGAAGAAAAACCACCCAAUCACUGAUACACCAGCAAACAAGUAGAAGGCUCCACCUAUAGUAAUUGCUUUGUAUAGUGAAAUAAAACUCAUAGAGAUUGUAGCAUUCAUAAGCCUAUUAACAGCUACACCAAUGCUAUACCCUUGUGCUCUUAACUUCAAAGGGAAUAUCUCAGAGCUGUAAACCCAUGUCACAGGUGCAAGACCAAUAUUGUAAAAAGCCACAAGUACAUAUGUAGAAAUAAUGCUCAGGCUUAGAGCCCACAACAGGUUCUUUCCAUUGUGAUACUCCACUAUGGUCAAGCAAGAUCCUAAGACUGUUAUGGAAGCUACGAUUCCUGCUGUGCUUGUGAGCAAUAGGCGUCUCCUCCCAACUUUGUCGAUCAAAAAUGUGGCUAUGAAUAUAAAGACAAACUUUGUCAGCCCUACCCCAACUGUUGCAAGCAAGAGCUUUUCCUUGCCUGUGACACCAGCUUUCUUGAAGAUUCUUGGACUAUAUAGCACAACUGCUUCGAUGCCAACUGCGUGCUCGAAGAAAUGGAUUCCAAUCGCAGCGAUUAGUAUCCACCGGACUGCCGGUGUUGGCCUUAAUAGCAGCUCUUUCCAGACCCCUUCACCAUGAGUUUUCUUUGAAAACUUGACAAAAUCCUCAUUGCAAUUUUCAUCUAUUCCUGCUACAACUUUUAUGUCGCGCAAACGAGCUUCUGCUUCUUCCUUGGAGUUGGAUACUAGGAGCAAGAUUUUCUUGGCUUCCCCUAAACGUCCUUGCAUUACUAACCACCUUGGAGACUCUGGCAUUUGUGUGAUGCCAAAGGCUAAGAUAAUUGAAGGUAUAGCUGCAAUUCCAAGCAUCAACCUCCAGCCAAGUUUCAGAGUCAACUUCCCAAAAAUUACGUUUGAAAUGUAGCCAAAUAAAAUGCCAAUACUUAUACCAAGCUCAGGCAGGGAGGUCAAGAAACCUCUGGAUGAUGGUGAUGAAACCUCUGCAGAGUAAACCGGAGCGAUCAUAAGAGCAAAGCCUACACCAAUGCCUGCGGUGCAUCUUCCGGCCAUUAGGAUUCCAUAAUUUGGACCGUAUCCCAUCAGAACUGAACCAGUCAUGAAAAUAAGGCAGGCUACAACAAUUGUGUAUCGCCUACCAAUGUAAUCGGAAGUUCUCCCGGCGAGAAGCGAACCCACAAGAGCACAUAUAUUCAAGAUUCCGGCAAGGACUUCCACUUGUGUAUCAUGGAUUUUCAGGUCGUCUUUUAUGAAUAUCAUGGCUCCACUCAUUACACCAGUAUCAUAACCAAAUAUGAUGGAUAUCAUUGAAGCAACUAUAGCGCAUGCAGCUGCAUACUUGUUAAAUUUUGGUUGGAUUUCUCCACCACCACCACCUCGUCCUUCCAUAGAAGCCAUGAUAAUUUUCUGUGCCUGUGAAAGUUAUCCUUCAAAACUAGUAACUCUAUUAUGGAUGAGACAACAGAAACACAAAGCUCUCAACUAUAUCAUAUAAUUUCAUAACUCUACUACCCUUUUGGUACUUUUGACAAAUUUUUCUUGCUCUUGAAUUUGAUAAUUU